AGAGCAAUCGAGCAACUCACAAGGGGAAGCUGAGAACUCGUCAUCACCGAUUUCGGCCAAAUUCACAGUAUAUGUUGGGCUCGACUAGAACUAAAAGUGAGCCAAGUAAAAAGACGAGAUGGCCAAGCGUUUUUCAGAUAUUAUUGUUUAAACAUUUUAUGGGUAGUAGACCAGCUUUUCAAGUGAGUUUCUAACGGGGAAUAGCAGUCAGCGAAGCGGCAAGCGUUCGGACUCAUAGUGCGAGGCUCGUGGUAUCCACUCUGUUACAGGCACAGAGUCAAUUUUACUGUCUGACAUUUUCGAAAGAUUUGAUUCUCGCUGGCGCGCGGCGUUCCGAUUUUGAUCUUACGCGUCAAUCGAGAAACUGGCAAUUGUGUAGCUUGCGGGGUUGCGAAAAGCGCAUACAGAAAGCAAUCGAAUUAGCACUAGGUGAAUUUUCU
This 440-nucleotide unclassified non-coding RNA is filed under the name Athalia rosae (coleseed sawfly). RNAcentral's name for it is "misc RNA ENSAEAG00005009685.1". Lineage: Eukaryota; Metazoa; Arthropoda; Insecta; Hymenoptera; Athaliidae. The record is from RNAcentral.